GACGAACGCUGGCGGCGUGCCUAACACAUGCAAGUCGAGCGCGAAAGCGGGGCAACCCGGCAAGUAGAGCGGCGAACGGGUGAGUAACGCGUGGGUGAUCUACCUCCGAGUGGGGAACGAACAUCGGGAAACUGGUGCUAAUACCGCAUGACAUCCUCAGGUCACACUGAGGAUCAAAGCCGGGGACCGUAAGGCCUGGCGCUUGGAGAGGAGCCCGCGUCCGAUUAGCAGUUGGCGGGGUAACGGCCCACCAAGGCGACGAUCGGUAGCCGGCCUGAGAGGGCGGACGGCCACACUGGGACUGCGACACGGCCCAGACUCCGUACGGGAGGCAGCAGUGGGGUAAUUUUUCGCAAUGGGCGCAAGCCUGACGAAGCAACGCCGCGU
RNAcentral lists this ribosomal RNA (387 nucleotides) under uncultured bacterium. RNAcentral describes it as "bacterial SSU rRNA". It matches the Rfam family "Bacterial small subunit ribosomal RNA", at positions 28 to 402 of the family's 1533-position model. The record is from RNAcentral.